This 568-nucleotide long non-coding RNA is filed under the name Hordeum vulgare. Its description in RNAcentral is "long non-coding RNA (HVUL_LNC017741)". The record is from RNAcentral. Lineage: Eukaryota; Viridiplantae; Streptophyta; Magnoliopsida; Poales; Poaceae.
CCGCAACCAACAGCCAACAGAGCUCGCCUCCUCACCUCGCCGGAGCGCCAAGAAACCCCUCCCCCCACCUCUCGCCACCGCGCAGAAGCGCCUCUGAUCCCCAGCGCCGGCGACCGAUGAACAGGUUCCACGACAGGCAGCACGUGUGGGUGCGGAGCAGCGUGCACGGCACGUACCUCAACGCCGACAGCGACGGGAGGAGCGUCUCCCUCCGCCGGCGCCGCGCGUCGCUCAAGGCGGCGUGGGCGGUGCACAUCUACCAGCACGGCGAGGGCGACGUGCCGUACCUUCUCCUCUACAGCGCCGCCUACGGCCGCUACCUCGCCGCCACGGCCACGCGGGCGCCGCUCGGCCACGUCGGCUUCCGCGCCGAGCAGCGCGACUACGACGAGCCGGUGCUGCCGGCCAUCAUGUGGCGGGCCACCCACACGGGCUUCGGGGGCGGCGUCUUCCUCCGCAACGUCGGCGGCCGCUACCUCCGCGCCAACGGCAAGUACCUCCGCUGGAACAACGGCGUCACCGUCGACGACAUGGACAAAGUCAGCACCAUGAUGUACUGGACCGUCGA